AUUGAACGCUGGCGGAAUGCUUUACACAUGCAAGUCGAACGGCAGCACGGACUUCGGUCUGGUGGCGAGUGGCGAACGGGUGAGUAAUGUAUCGGAACGUGCCCAGUCGUGGGGGAUAACGUAGUGAAACUUACGCUAAUACCGCAUACGAUCUAUGGAUGAAAGCGGGGGAUCGCAAGACCUAGCGCGAUUGGAGCGGCCGAUAUCAGAUUAGGUAGUUGGUGGGGUAAAGGCCCACCAAGCCAACGAUCUGUAGCUGGUCUGAGAGGACGACCAGCCACACUGGAACUGAGACACGGUCCAGACUCCUACGGGAGGCAGCAGUGGGGAAUUUUGGACAAUGGGCGAAAGCCUGAUCCAGCCAUUCCGCGUGCAGGAUGAAGGCCCUCGGGUUGUAAACUGCUUUUGUACAGAACGAAAAGGUUUCUACUAAUACUAGGAGCUCAUGACGGUACUGUAAGAAUAAGCACCGGCUAACUACGUGCCAGCAGCCGCCGUAA
RNAcentral lists this ribosomal RNA (500 nucleotides) under uncultured bacterium. RNAcentral describes it as "partial 16S ribosomal RNA". It matches the Rfam family "Bacterial small subunit ribosomal RNA", at positions 30 to 523 of the family's 1533-position model. The record is from RNAcentral.